This 237-nucleotide long non-coding RNA is filed under the name Setaria italica (foxtail millet). RNAcentral describes it as "long non-coding RNA (SITA_LNC001232)". The record is from RNAcentral. Lineage: Eukaryota; Viridiplantae; Streptophyta; Magnoliopsida; Poales; Poaceae.
ACCCAUACCUUUGCGAUUAUUGCGUCGUCGUCGGCGAUCAUGAGCAUCUGGGUCAUCUUGUUCAGUAUCAGCAUCCCAAUUGUCCUCGACACGCUCAUCCUUGUUGUUAUCUCCAUCAUGUCCAUUAGUGGUUUUGGCGUGCAUCUCAUCAAAGCGCCUCAAAAUAGCAGCAAGGCUUUUGUCAAUAUGAGCGACUGACGUCUCCAGCCCUGUAAGCUUGGUGUUGGUGGCAAGCUG